Long non-coding RNA from Acanthochromis polyacanthus (spiny chromis), 1464 nucleotides. RefSeq lists it as uncharacterized. The transcript is spliced from 3 exons. Lineage: Eukaryota; Metazoa; Chordata; Actinopteri; Pomacentridae. The record is from RefSeq and is a predicted model, not a curated record.
ACCAACACGAUAAACACACCAACAGAAGCACAAAGAGUCGCUCAGAUGGAGGGAAUAAAUCACACUUUUAUCUCUGUGGAGCAUCUAAUGUAUAAAGUUUGCAGAAAUGAAGUUAAAUGUUAAUUUUACAGUGUAGUUUUCAAUGUGUUUAAUGUGUGUUGCCUUAUUUUUUAAAUUCACAAAUUACUUCAUUCAUCAGAGCCCUAAAAUGUACAAGCAGAACAGAAAUGUCAGAUUUUCAACUUUGGUAUGCUUCUUAACCGAGUCAUCACUGGGAAACUUCACCAAAUCUCAGCUUUAAAGUGUUGAUGAUUCGUCCGACUUACUUUAUUCUACUUGUCUUCUUUUAAAAAAAAGCCAAAAAUUAAACAAUUUGUAACCUAUUGUGUAAAAAUAUAUGUAUUAGAGACUCAGCUGCAACCAAAAGUCACAAGAAUUCUAUAAUUAAAUGAUGACUUCAGUGAGGUAAAAUUAGAUUACAGUGAGGUAAAAUUAGAUUACAGUGAGGUAAAAUUAGAUUACAGUGAGGUAAAAUUAGAUUACAGUGAGGUAAAACUAGACUACAGUGAGGUAAAAUUAGACUACAGUGAGGUAAAAUUAGACUACAGUGAGGUAAAACUAGACUACAGUGAGGUAAAAUUAGAUUACAGUGACGUAAAAUUAGACUAAAGUGAGGUAAAACUAGACUAAAGUGAGGUAAAACUAGACUACAGUGAGGUAAAAUUAGACUACAGUGAGGUAAAAUUAGACUACAGUGAGGUAAAAUUAGAUUACAGUGAGGUAAAACUAGACUACAGUGAGGUAAAAUUAGACUACAGUGAGGUAAAAUUAGACUAAAGUGAGGUAAAACUAGACUACAGUGAGGUAAAACUAGACUACAGUGAGGUAAAAUUAGACUAAAGUGAGGUAAAAUUAGACUACAGUCAGGUAAAAUUAGACUAAAGUGAGGUAAAAUUAGAUUACAGUGAGGUAAAACUAGACUACAGUGAGGUAAAAUUAGACUACAGUGAGGUAAAAUUAGUUUACAGUGAGGUAAAAUUAGAUUACAGUGAGGAAGGAUAAACCCACAGUGAGGGAAAAUUCGACAACAAUGAGGAAAUUUUUGACAAAAGUGAAGAAAAAUGAGGCUGCACAUGACAAAAAUUCAUGGAUUCCUCGGCUGAACUGCAGCCAGUGUACGACAAAACUGGAAACUAGAAAAAAUGUAAAUAGUUAAUUGUGCAUAAUAUGUAGAAUUGACUUUUUUCCACUUCUGAUACGGCACAGAAGACAUUUUUCAGUUCUUUCUAAUUCUAGUCGUGGUUGUUCUGUUUCUAUGAAGGAGCAGGACUUUUAUUUUGUAGUAAAAAAUGAGCCACAACGAGUAGAAAAAACACCUGAAACCUGCCUUGGGCUCAGUGACUGUGGACUUCCUGUGGUCAUUUCCAGUCUAUUGGUUCACGUUUGGUUUAUUGUGACCUCUGA